This 379-nucleotide ribosomal RNA is filed under the name Salmonella enterica subsp. enterica serovar Corvallis. RNAcentral describes it as "partial 23S ribosomal RNA". It matches the Rfam family "Bacterial large subunit ribosomal RNA", at positions 1082 to 1378 of the family's 2925-position model. Lineage: Bacteria; Pseudomonadati; Pseudomonadota; Gammaproteobacteria; Enterobacterales; Enterobacteriaceae. The record is from RNAcentral.
GGCCCAGACAGCCAGGAUGUUGGCUUAGAAGCAGCCAUCAUUUAAAGAAAGCGUAAUAGCUCACUGGUCGAGUCGGCCUGCGCGGAAGAUGUAACGGGGCUAAACCAUGCACCGAAGCUGCGGCAGCGAACGUAUCACUUAAAGCGAUUCAGCGGGUUACGAUUGACGGAGCGAAGCGACGUCAAAGCGUAUACAAAGUCGAGUCGGUUUAAGGAUACGUUCGUUGGGUAGGGGAGCGUUCUGUAAGCCUGUGAAGGUGGCCUGUGAGGGUUGCUGGAGGUAUCAGAAGUGCGAAUGCUGACAUAAGUAACGAUAAAGCGGGUGAAAAGCCCGCUCGCCGGAAGACCAAGGGUUCCUGUCCAACGUUAAUCGGGGCAGG